Molecule: unclassified non-coding RNA, 255 nt
Filed under: Hevea brasiliensis (rubber tree)
Lineage: Eukaryota; Viridiplantae; Streptophyta; Magnoliopsida; Malpighiales; Euphorbiaceae
Source: RNAcentral
GGCACGGACCACAAUCGACGACGAAUCGGGCGAUCCAGCCAUGACGACCUCGGCGAUCACGGGUUCCACGAUCGCCGGGGAGGGGACGAGCGCCAUCGGCUAGGGUUAGGGUUUGCUACUCGCCGUACUUGCGGCGGAGGUACUGGCGGACGAUCUCGGCGCGGGCUUGGGUGCGGGCUUGCUGGGGGGCGACGUUGACGUAUGAGAGGUGGGCGCCGACGGCGAACAGGACGACACCGGUGGCGAAGAGGCCGA